RNAcentral lists this non-coding RNA (538 nucleotides) under Allomyces macrogynus ATCC 38327. Its description in RNAcentral is "Eukaryotic small subunit ribosomal RNA". It matches the Rfam family "Eukaryotic small subunit ribosomal RNA", at positions 606 to 1116 of the family's 1831-position model. Lineage: Eukaryota; Fungi; Blastocladiomycota; Blastocladiomycetes; Blastocladiales; Blastocladiaceae. The record is from Rfam by way of RNAcentral.
AAAGUUGUUGCAGUUAAAAAGCUCGUAGUUGAAUUUCAAGGGUUUUUUUCGUAGCUAGCCAUUGUUCCCUUUGCGGUCAAUGUGCAUUUGGCUACAGGCCCUUUUUUUCUGCUAGGAGAUGCGGCUCUUCUGCUUGUCAGCGGGGCUGCAGUUUUCCUAGCACUUUUACUUUGAAAAAAUUAGAGUGUUCAAAGCAGGCUUUUUCUUUGCCUGAAUAUCUUAGCAUGGAAUAAUAGAAUAGGACUUUGGUUCUAUUUUGUUGGUUUCUAGGACUAGAGUAAUGAUUAAUAGGGAUAGUUGGGGGCAUUAGUAUUUAAUUGUCAGAGGUGAAAUUCUUGGAUUUAGGAAAGACUAACUUCUGCGAAAGCAUUUGCCAAGGAUGUUUUCAUUAAUCAAGAACGAAAGUUAAGGGAUCGAAGAUGAUUAGAUACCAUCGUAGUCUUAACCAUAAACGAUGCCGACCAGGGAUCGGGCGCUUGUAGUUUUUCCAAAAAGACACGCCCGGCACCUUUUGAGAAAUCAAAGUUUUUGGGUUCUG